RNAcentral lists this long non-coding RNA (865 nucleotides) under Marmota monax (woodchuck). The record is from RNAcentral. Lineage: Eukaryota; Metazoa; Chordata; Mammalia; Rodentia; Sciuridae.
CUCAGGAGGCUGAAGCAGAAGGAUCAAGAGUUUGAGGCCAGCCUCAGCAACUUAGCAAGACAUGUCUCAAAAUAAAAUAUAAAAAGGGCUGGGGAUCUAGCUCAGUGGUAGUUCAAUCUCCAGUUCCACCCAUCUCCCCCAUCCCCCAAAAAGAAAGAAAGAAAAGUAAGAAAGAAAGUAGCAUGGGUCCUGUGGGAAACGGGAGGGGAGUCAGGAUGGAGGUAGUCAUCGUGUGACGUGAUGUACACUACAAGACUUUUCACCAGGACACAGGGGCAAGAGCUGCUGAGAAGCCACCAGGGACCGUGGCAGGGGACCAGGGCUGUCUGGUCUGAGGCAAGGGGACUGGCCUCACCUGGGAAGGACAGCCAGGGCAAAGACUCAGAAGUGUGCAAAGCUGGUUCCUUCAAGAAAGCAUAAGUGCCUCAGCAGCACAGAAGCUGGGGUGCCCACGACCCAGCGGGAGGGCAGUCACUGCGCUGGCCUGGUGGCCCGUAGGGCCCUCCUCCUCUUGCUCAGCAGACUCCCACUCAGUUCCCAGGAGCCUGUGGGCUGCCACAGAGGUCACAUCAUGGGGAAGGAACAAGAGCUGUGCAACCAGACCAACUUGCCCCCACCCGUCCUCUAUCCCACCUUGGGCAAGUCCCUGUCUCCUUGCUGAACCUCAGUUUCUCCAUCUGUAAAAUGGCAGAACCACAAUACCCACCUCAGAAGGGUGCCAUGGGCAGGAAGGAGGUGAGUAAAAUAGAGUUCCUGCUCCAUGAAGCUUGCAUUCCAGUGGAGGAGACCGAUGGUGGGCCUAAAAAGAAAAAAAAAAGGGAAUUGUUCACUGCUCUAUUCCCAGUACCUAGGAUGCCUAGCACAU